CAGAUUUGGUGGCUGUGCUCCUCCAAGCCAGUUACCUUGGUUCAAAGAGUUGCUGCUCUGAGAACCUUCGAAAAGCCGCCUUGCUGGGCGGUUUUUUCGU
This 100-nucleotide non-coding RNA is filed under the name Escherichia coli. Lineage: Bacteria; Pseudomonadati; Pseudomonadota; Gammaproteobacteria; Enterobacterales; Enterobacteriaceae. RNAcentral also lists the same sequence under 3 other names. The record is from RNAcentral.